Molecule: regulatory RNA element, 46 nt
Organism: Neotoma lepida (desert woodrat)
Lineage: Eukaryota; Metazoa; Chordata; Mammalia; Rodentia; Cricetidae
Rfam family: Histone 3' UTR stem-loop
About the family: The mRNAs of metazoan histone genes lack a poly-A tail. 3' end processing occurs at a site between a highly conserved stem-loop (modelled by this family) and a purine rich region around 20 nts downstream (the histone downstream element, or HDE). The stem-loop is bound by a 31 kDa stem-loop binding protein (SLBP - also termed the histone hairpin binding protein, or HBP).
Source: Rfam
CCAAAGGCUCUUUUCAGAGCCACCCACAAAUCUCAGUAAAAGAGCU